This 253-nucleotide ribosomal RNA is filed under the name uncultured bacterium. Its description in RNAcentral is "partial 16S ribosomal RNA". It matches the Rfam family "Bacterial small subunit ribosomal RNA", at positions 524 to 776 of the family's 1533-position model. The record is from RNAcentral.
UACGUAGGGUGCGUGCGUUAAUCGGAAUUACUGGGCGUAAAGCGUGCGCAGGCGGUUUCGCAAGUCAGAUGUGAAAGCCCCGGGCUCAACCUGGGAACUGCAUUUGAAACUACGAGGCUAGAGUGUGUCAGAGGGGGGUAGAAUUCCACGUGUAGCAGUGAAAUGCGUAGAGAUGUGGAGGAAUACCGAUGGCGAAAGCAGCCCCCUGGGUCAACACUGACGCUCAUGCACGAAAGCGUGGGGAGCGAACAGG